CGGUUCUGGAUCCUUGCUUCUCACCCUGAGAUGAAUCUCCUUGCUGCAGGUCAUGACAGCGGCAUGAUUGUUUUUAAAUUAGAAAGAGAACGGCCUGCUUUUGCUGUGAGCGGUGAUUCUUUGUUCUAUGCCAAAGAUCGCUUUUUGCGGUUCUUUGAGUUUUCAACUCAAAAAGAUACGCAAGUUAUUCCCAUCCGGCGACCUGGUACCACCAGCCUGAACCAAAGUCCAAGGACACUUUCUUACAGCCCUACAGAGAAUGCUGUUCUUAUUUGCUCAGAUGUGGAUGGUGGAUC
RNAcentral lists this unclassified non-coding RNA (296 nucleotides) under Hevea brasiliensis (rubber tree). Lineage: Eukaryota; Viridiplantae; Streptophyta; Magnoliopsida; Malpighiales; Euphorbiaceae. The record is from RNAcentral.